RNAcentral lists this transfer RNA (79 nucleotides) under Bacillus atrophaeus. Its description in RNAcentral is "tRNA-Leu". Lineage: Bacteria; Bacillati; Bacillota; Bacilli; Caryophanales; Bacillaceae. The record is from RNAcentral.
ACUGGUAAGGUCAGCUGGAAAAAGCACGACUCAAAAUCGUGUUCCUUCUGGAGUGUCGGUUCGACCCCGACCACCGGUA